RNAcentral lists this unclassified non-coding RNA (231 nucleotides) under uncultured Saccharomycetales. Its description in RNAcentral is "sequence contains ITS1". The stretch from base 1 to 93 matches the Rfam family "5.8S ribosomal RNA", at positions 50 to 154 of the family's 154-position model. RNAcentral also lists the same sequence under 1 other name. The record is from RNAcentral. Lineage: Eukaryota; Fungi; Ascomycota; Saccharomycetes.
AAAGCGCGAUAGAUAAUGUGAAUUGCAGACGUGAAUCAUUGAGUUUUUGAACGCACAUUGCACCUCUUUGGAGGUAUACUUGUGUGAGCGUCAUUUUUUCUCCACAUAUAUAUUAGUGGGUAAUGGUUCACUAUAUGGACUGAAAAAGAUUAUACACAGUUGUUAGACACAAGCUGUGGAAAAUUAUCAAAUUUUGACCUCAUAUCAAGUAAGAUCACCCGCUGAACUUAA